GCAGUCGAGCGGAGUGAUGGUGCUUGCACUAUCACUUAGCGGCGGACGGGUGAGUAAUGCUUAGGAAUCUGCCUAUUAGUGGGGGACAACAUUUCGAAAGGAAUGCUAAUACCGCAUACGUCCUACGGGAGAAAGCAGGGGAUCUUCGGACCUUGCGCUAAUAGAUGAGCCUAAGUCGGAUUAGCUAGUUGGUGGGGUAAAGGCCUACCAAGGCGACGAUCUGUAGCGGGUCUGAGAGGAUGAUCCGCCACACUGGGACUGAGACACGGCCCAGACUCCUACGGGAGGCAGCAGUGGGGAAUAUUGGACAAUGGGCGCAAGCCUGAUCCAGCCAUGCCGCGUGUGUGAAGAAGGCCUUAUGGUUGUAAAGCACUUUAAGCGAGGAGGAGGCUACUGAAGUUAAUACCUUCAGAUAGUGGACGUUACUCGCAGAAUAAGCACCGGCUAACUCUGUGCCAGCAGCCGCGGUAAUACAGAGGGUGCAAGCGUUAAUCGGAUUUACUGGGCGUAAAGCGCGCGUAGGCGGCUAAUUAAGUCAAAUGUGAAAUCCCCGAGCUUAACUUGGGAAUUGCAUUCGAUACUGGUUAGCUAGAGUGUGGGGAGAGGAUGGUAGAAUUCCACGU
Molecule: ribosomal RNA, 623 nt
Filed under: Acinetobacter calcoaceticus
Lineage: Bacteria; Pseudomonadati; Pseudomonadota; Gammaproteobacteria; Moraxellales; Moraxellaceae
Description: bacterial SSU rRNA
Rfam family: Bacterial small subunit ribosomal RNA
Source: RNAcentral